UUCUUAUCAAGAGAAGCUGAGGGGAAGGCCCUAUGACGCUUCAGCAACCUCUGUGUAUGCAGAAAGGUGCUACAUCCUGCAAGAUUAAAUCUUGGAAGAUAAGAG
RNAcentral lists this non-coding RNA (105 nucleotides) under Rummeliibacillus stabekisii. RNAcentral describes it as "SAM-I sequence". It matches the Rfam family "SAM riboswitch aptamer (S box leader)". From Rfam's summary of the family: The SAM riboswitch is found upstream of a number of genes which code for proteins involved in methionine or cysteine biosynthesis in Gram-positive bacteria. The SAM riboswitch acts at the level of transcription termination control. Lineage: Bacteria; Bacillati; Bacillota; Bacilli; Caryophanales; Caryophanaceae. The record is from Rfam by way of RNAcentral.